This 397-nucleotide long non-coding RNA is filed under the name Brassica napus (rape). Its description in RNAcentral is "long non-coding RNA (BNAP_LNC019171)". The record is from RNAcentral. Lineage: Eukaryota; Viridiplantae; Streptophyta; Magnoliopsida; Brassicales; Brassicaceae.
CACAUCAUGACAAAGCGCAAAUUUCUUAGAUCAGAAAUCUAUGACAUGCAAGAUCUAUUACUCUCCAACAAAAGGGAAACGCUUGUUCGAUUUUUCUCUCCUCUCAUACUCACAAUAUCAUCUCUUUCUCAUUUUGAUUGAAGUUUAACUGCAGAUAAUUUAUCAAUUGAGCUGAAGAAGCCAAGUGUUUGUAUUGGAGAUAAUAGAGUCCUUGUCCACGUUUUAUGGUAUAAUUUUAGUAAUAUGAGUCCAUGUCCACGUAUUGUUGUAUAGUUUUAUGGAAUCAAAACAGAGAGUUUGUCCACGUUAUCUAUUAUAAACACAUUAACAUCACUCAUCCACACAUCACCCGUCCACAAAUCACUCAAUCACGCAUCACUCGUCCACAAAUUACUCA